UCCAAACAUAAGCAACAGCCAGCAUCUCUGCCAAGUCUCGGCACUGGGCCUGCCGGUCCGGAGCUCAGUUCCCGGGGACAGCGCCUGGUUCCCUGGCUCCUCGAGCUCCACCAGCCAGCCUCACCCAGAUGGGGAGUCAUGUCCACACAGGAGCCACUUCCAAGCGGUAGAACCAGGCUCCGAGGCCACCUCACUUUCUGCAGGAAAUCCAAGGAAACCCAGCGCCUGCUAAGUAGCACAAGGAUAAAAACUGCUUUCCACCAAACCAAGAGUCGGAGGGUUUUUGAAGUUAAGGAGACAAAACAUGAGUGCAAAACAAGCAAGUACAGGUCCCACCGCCUGGGAACCGUGACAGGGUGCCCGGUGGGUUUCAGGUAUGUGACCACUCCAGUGAGUCAGGGGACAGCCAAGCGGGUUCGAAAGUGUUCCGGGGCAAUCGCUUCUCCGGAGCCAAGACGCUGAAUCAGAGGGGAGAAGGAAUGAAAACAGGGUAGAUUCGGAAGGAAUGCUAUCAAGUCCAAAGCUAUACAUCUUUAGAAGUCCCUUAUUGCAUAGGCCUGAACUGCCAAAUGUAGAAGCUACGGCACAUUGCUGCUCCAUUUCUUGACCUAUAAAAUGACUGAAAUCGUGUGUUUUCACACGAUAAAAAGCUGCAUGCAUAAUGUAAAAACAGAAAGAAAUAAAACUUGGAGUCAAAACAACCAAGAUCAGGUUAUAGCUUUUUUUCUUACUGGGUUUCCUUAGGCGUCUCUGGUGUGUGGGGAUGGCUUCCGUUUUGGACGCGUGGCAGUGAACUGGUUAAGUCUGAUUGGUAAAUGAGGAUUCUAACACAGCAACCUAAACAGGCAAGCAAUAAAGUAUGAAGAUUUCAUCCUA
Molecule: long non-coding RNA, 876 nt
Organism: Myotis brandtii (Brandt's bat)
Lineage: Eukaryota; Metazoa; Chordata; Mammalia; Chiroptera; Vespertilionidae
Exons: 3
Source: RefSeq, a predicted model, not a curated record